AUGGAAAUGAUGAUUAUUUCCCCAGAUGAUCGACGCUGAUUAUACUGUGCGAUUUUACUCAUUUUUGAGAAUCCAAGCCAGUCUUCUGAUCCAU
This is a non-coding RNA of Ricinus communis (castor bean), 94 nucleotides long. Lineage: Eukaryota; Viridiplantae; Streptophyta; Magnoliopsida; Malpighiales; Euphorbiaceae. The record is from Rfam.